Molecule: long non-coding RNA, 288 nt
Filed under: Brassica rapa (field mustard)
Lineage: Eukaryota; Viridiplantae; Streptophyta; Magnoliopsida; Brassicales; Brassicaceae
Description: long non-coding RNA (BRAP_LNC008089)
Source: RNAcentral
GUUUUGGCUAGAAAGGAGAGUAAGCUGAUGAUUGUUCAAGUAUAUAAAAUCCUCGAUCGCUUACGUCAUUUGCGCUUCGGUGGUGCCAGUAAUGAGUACAGAGGUUAUCCUACCAUGGCCCAUGAAGUUACCCGAUAUUUUUACCUAUACCUAGGGUACCGCUUGUUAAACUUGUUCGCUUUCCUUACCAUUAGUCACUAACUAAGUGUUUGGCUAUUUGGGUAGAGCCUACACUUUAUAGUUGCCUGGACCGUCAAAACCUCUGAAAAGGUCCAAUCACAGGUUUGC